RNAcentral lists this ribosomal RNA (251 nucleotides) under uncultured bacterium. RNAcentral describes it as "partial 16S ribosomal RNA". It matches the Rfam family "Bacterial small subunit ribosomal RNA", at positions 524 to 776 of the family's 1533-position model. The record is from RNAcentral.
UACGUAGGUGGCAAGCGUUGUCCGGAUUUACUGGGCGUAAAGAGCGCGCAGGCGGUCGUGCAAGUCGCGUGUGAAAGCCCUCGGCUCAACUGAGGAAGUGCACCCGAAACUGGCGAGCUUGAGUACGAAAGAGGAUCGCGGAAUUCCCGGUGUAGAGGUGAAAUUCGUAGAUAGUCGGGAGGAACACCGGUGGCGAAGGCGGCGAUCUGGGUCGAUACUGACGCUGAGGUGCGAAGCGUGGGAGCAACAGG